UUAUGUACUCAAUAAUCACAUUAUUUCCCAAAAUUGAGCCCUGUUUUUAAUGCAGAUUGACAUUAUUUACUAAUAAAACUAACAUAAUUUUAGAAUAAAGAUGUUGGCGACGAUUUUGAUAGUACCUAAAAAAUGGUCGGCGCGUUUUGUUACCAAGGAAACAGACAAUAUUUUUUGUAUUGCUGACGGCGAAAAAAUAGAGCUACUGAAAAAACGGGGAAAACUGAGGAAAUUGAAGCACAUUAAAGAUGCUUAUCAAAACUAAUCACAGAGCUCGGAUUAUAACUAAUCGGAUGCACGGGGAAUUAAUCUAUUGCUUGCCACCAACAAAAUCGUUCGGCAGCAGGCCACAUCAGAAUUAAGGCACCCCUCUGCCGACGUACAUUCAUCUCGUAUUGAAUGACCUUUGAGGAUCGAUAGCUGUCGGACGAACUCGUCUACGCUGGCCCUGGUACUCUGUAUAGACCAUUAACCCUCCGUGUUACAGCUUCCUCUAUGUACCGCAGUACACGGCGAAUCUAUUUCCAUUUACAGCAAACUUGUGGAAGUUUCGGCUAAUCCCAGAGCACCAUCAAUUAAAGUAUUCAACGCUUUCGACUGAGGCGGACCUGUUUCGUUUAUAAUAUGCGUGAAUAAUGAACAAAAAUAUUAGAUAAUAGAAAUCCAAACCAUGAAAAUAAAUAAAUAAAACUAAAACAGAAUUAUUAAUUUGAAAUAUAUGUAAUGUUUUAUUUUGACA
Long non-coding RNA from Armigeres subalbatus, 739 nucleotides. RefSeq lists it as uncharacterized. The record is from RefSeq and is a predicted model, not a curated record. The transcript is spliced from 3 exons. NCBI's taxonomy places the organism in Eukaryota, Metazoa, Arthropoda, Insecta, Diptera, Culicidae.